ACGGAGUUCAGGUUUAUACCACCAAGGAAGUGGCUCUGGAAUCUGUGGCGGGUUUCUUGGUUGAAUCAGGACCUUGGGAACCAAGGAUGGAUAUAAUUCUGCAUAAGACAUAGGAGUCGGGUCAAAAGAGACCUUCUUCCUCUCAAAGUUUUGUUGAUGAUGAUUGUUGUUGGUAUUGUUGUUGUAGGUGUUUGCUCGUUGUUGCGGUUGUUGUUG
This 216-nucleotide long non-coding RNA is filed under the name Lathyrus oleraceus (garden pea). Its description in RNAcentral is "Pisum sativum (pea) long non-coding RNA (PSAT_LNC036034)". Lineage: Eukaryota; Viridiplantae; Streptophyta; Magnoliopsida; Fabales; Fabaceae. The record is from RNAcentral.